GAUGAACGCUGGCGGCGUGCCUAAUACAUGCAAGUCGAGCGAGCGGCGGACGGGUGAGUAAUGUCUGGGAAACUGCCUGAUGGAGGGGGAUAACUACUGGAAACGGUAGCUAAUACCGCAUACCAUCAGAUGUGCCCAGAUGGGAUUAGCUAGUAGGUGGGGUAAUGGCUCACCUAGGCGACGAUCCCUAGCUGGUCUGAGAGGAUGACAGCCAACACUGGAACGGAGCCACGGUCCAGACUCUAAGGGGGGGCAGCGUUGGGAAAUAUUGAACAAUGGGCGCAAGCCUGAGGCAGCCUGGCCGGGGGUGUGAAGAAGGCCUUCGGGUUGUAAAGCACUUUCAGCGAGGAGGCGUUACUCGCAGAAGAAGCACCGGCUAACUCCGUGCCAGCAGCCGCGUAAUUC
This 405-nucleotide ribosomal RNA is filed under the name uncultured bacterium. RNAcentral describes it as "partial 16S ribosomal RNA". It matches the Rfam family "Bacterial small subunit ribosomal RNA", at positions 28 to 526 of the family's 1533-position model. The record is from RNAcentral.